AGGAGAGGAGAGGAGAGGAGAGGAGAGGAGAGGAGAGGAGAGGAGGCAGCAAGAAAGGAAAAAGCAUCAAGAAGGGAAUGGAUGGUGUGUACAGAAUUAGGAGGCAGACAAAGAAAUUCUGCUGAGCGUGGGGCAUUACAGUUCCUUGGCAAUUACAAUCAUGCCAUUGUCUUUCGCACAGCAGCUGGAGAUCUCGGAGUCCUUCACAGAGUGGGAAAUGAAGAAGCCACAGCUAUUUUUACCUUGGUUUGAAGAGGGCAGAGAAGCAUCCUCCAGUGUAAAGAGGAGGAAACCAGUUUAAGUCAUCUGCUGAAGGAAUCAGGAAAGAGCAGUAUAAAAGAUAAGGCCUAUUUUUAGUAACACUCUCCUAGUAUUAAAGCUUUGACCGUUUAUUUCAACUUCAUCUCCUCCUCUUCUUCCUCGGAUACCCAGAAGGAUCAGAGGCUCCCUCAGCCCACCUCUCCCUCCUCCUGGUCCAGAGGGCUGUGGCACUUCAGCUGUACAGUGCUACCACCCUCUGGCCACCUUCAACACCACAGUCUUCCACCUGCAGAAGUGCCCAGAACUCAAAUCUUAUCUGCCUCUUACAUCUCUGUGAGGUAAAUGCUGCCUUUCAGAGUACCCAGUAAAGAGGGACAGCUAUUUACACCUUCUGAGGUGUCUCUACACAACACCUGGUUUGACUGCUUGUUUUUGUAAAGAGAUUUCAUCUGGGUGAAGGAUACAAAGGUCAACACCUCCAAAUGUAUUGGUCCUCCACUGGUCCAGAGCAUGUGGCCAGUGGGUUCAUCUCCUCAUGUUCCCCUGUGAGGAGUCACCACCCAUAUUAGAAUGGUGGCUGAUUCCUGCUUUGAGGGUGUCUCCUGUGGGAUGAGACGUUCCUGGGUCAUUUUGAGGUUAAAGUGCUAGAAUGGCACUUCCUGUGGAACCCUGAGCAAGAUACUGUUUCUUUCAGCACCUCGGCUGCAUAGCUGUAAAAUAGAGAUUGUACACCUUAGCUCUUGCACAUGGAUGAUGCUGUGAUGAAUUAAUGAAUGGUUUUGAUAGCAUGGGCAUGAGGAUAUAAACAUGCCAGGUUGCAUAGCAGUCCAUCCAUGCCAUUCUGUACCAGCAUUACCAAUGCUGACACUGCUGCAAGGAUAUUAAUCAGUGAGGGGGUCUUCCGCCCAUCAGAAGCUGCACUGAGACCACUAGCUCAUUUCCCAAGGAGCAGCAAGAUGUUACAGGGUGAGAAGGACUGGAAGAGUGAAAAACAAUUUGUGAUCAAAGCCCAAAGUACUUUGUAAUAGGCGAGCUGGUUUUUGUAUUGCUACUGCGUCAGCAGACUAGAUUUAUUUUACUGAAAAAUUCCCAACUUUUCAUAUUUUAUCCAAGAACAUAUGUGAUGAAAACAGGUGUAGAGAGAAAAACAGUCACAGAAGCAAAAAGGUGGCUUCAAAGAGCACAUUCCAGCAUUAUGCUUCUUUUGUGGCAAGCAAAUCAUGUUUUUUUCAACCGUGAUAGGACAAGGAAGUGUGAGGAGUGUAAGUGACAGAGUGCUUUCUUGUAGAAUCGUACCAGCUUUAUAGUUCUGUAGGAAUGGUAGAGGAUCACUCUGGCCAUGUCCUGUUUGAAGGAACAGUGAAAACGUCCGUUGUUCUUUAUUGUUUCCUUUUUACAGCCUCUCCUUACAAGUGACAGGUUGGCACACUCUUUCCAGCAAGUGUUGUGGGUAAGGCUACAAGAAGGGCUUCAGCUGUAUAGUGCUCACUGGGACUUCACCCAAGCUCCUCAUGUGCACUCCAAAAUCUCUUUGAAGAUGCUAUUAGGCUUGUGACAGCAGCAUACAGGUGGGAGCCAAGUGGAAGCGUACAGGAUCAUAUCCCUGUGACACUGUGAAGAACCUAGUUUGGUUAGAUGUCAGAAAUGGCCAUUUCAGUAGGUAAGAAUUUAGCUGCCCCAGUAAGUCAUUUUAGCUUAUAUGUAGAUUUUUCUGCUGGUAGAGGAAUUCAUGCUGGAAAGUGUGGGCUUUCUUCCUUGAUGCAAUAAUACUAUGGUGCAACCUUUUAUGUGGACACCAGUGUUCCAAGGAAACUGUAUCCAUAGUGUAUGGUCUUUUUAUUUUUUCUCCUGAUAAUGACUAUGUAGGCAUUUGGAUUUUUAUACAGGUGUUUGCAAAUCCAAAUUAGAAGGUUUAACUACUGCUCCAACAACAGGGUAGUUAAAGUCCUGCGAUUUCUACAUGUAGACAACCCUUGAGUGCCAGCAAUGCUAUUUCACAGGUUCAAAGUGGAAAGACUGUUUAGAGCUCCAUUGUAUCUUACAAACAGUGUCCCAUUUUGUAGCAGUUGAAGUGUCCUUGGGAAAGGGAACUAUUCUGUGUCCCCCAACCUGAAUUCCCCACCAGAAACAGGUCUGAUUCAAACAGCUGAUCAAAAAUUCAGAUCUAGUGUUGCUAGUACUAUAAGUUCUCACUGAUCAAGAAUCACUUUGUUUAGAGAGCGUCUAUAUAGUCCUGCGAGGCUGGCAUUAGAAAGCAAUGGAAAUGAGGACUGGUUUGUUACGUUCUCUCCCUUACAGGCCUGAGAAAAUCUCAGAAAGCAAAAGUUCCCAAGCAGCCAAUUUCUGUGUGGUCACAUUCAGACACUGUACUUGCAGUCUUUCUCAAGAGGAAUAUAAAAAUAUAAGAAUGACUAUACUGUCUCAGAACAAGGAUCCAUCUUGUGCAGCAUCUUAUUUCCAACAGUCCAUAAACAGACCCCCAGGGAAGAGUAAUAACAGGUGAAGCACAUGUGAUGCUUCCCCUGAGUUACUUCCCAGGCUCAGGGCAUCUUCCAAGCCUCAUGUAAUUUGUCAGUAACCCUCAAUGCAUUUUCAUUCCAAGUGGUUGGCUAGUUGCUUCUUGAGCUUCUGUAAAGCUUUUGGAUGUACCUCACACUUUAGCAAGGAAUGCCACAGGUUUACCAACACCUGCAUGACCUGCAUUUGUUUCUUCCCAGCCUGGCUCUAUCAUCUGAUGGCCCCUGGCUCUUGUAGUGAAAAAGCUAAUGAAGAGUAGCUUUUUUCACAAUGUCAAUGGCUUUCAUGGUUAAUAUAGACCCCUAUUAUAUCCCUUUGCCCUUUCCAGGGACACCAGGCAUACUUCAGCAUCCCAGUCUGCCAGGACCUGGUUUCAUUACCAGAGCUUGUGGAGCUGAAGAGACAUAAACUCAAACACUGGCUUAUCAUAUAUUGUUGCUUACACACCAGGCAGCCACUUGCACUGUGGGAAGAAAACCUAUCCAAAUACAGUGAUAGUUUUAUGCACAAUUGCUAUUCACUGUACCAAGGACACUGUACCAUAUGUAUGUUAUCUCAUAUAUAACAGUGUACCAAGUAGGUCCGUAGUUUCCAACAGGUUAAUGUGGAUAUAAUGAAGAUCAACACCAGUUUCACUUUUUACAAAUUUGGAUCAUUCCAUGAAGAGCACAGAGACUGUAGCCACUUGUGACACAUACAGACAUAAAUUAUUUCUUUCUUUAAAAAUCCGUUUCUCUUUCCUCCUCUUCCAGAGGCGGGCCCUUGUAUAGAUGUGUAACUUUGUAUGUGCUAGGCUAACAUUAAAAAAAUGCUUGACUUAAGUUCAUAGAUAUAAAUUAAUCUCUAUCCAUAUCUGAAUGCCAAACAGCUCACAUUUUUAUCCAAUUAAAACCAAGCAACUUUCAAAGCAGCAGCUCUCGACACAUCAGAACUCGUCUUUCCCUUUUUCACCUCCACCCAUGAGAGAAAUCCUGGCUACCUGCCCAGAUGAAGAAGGAGCCACGGCAAAAUGAGGCACCUUGCAUCAUGCUUUUCAAUGGUCAAAACUGGCUUAUCACAGGCUGUGAAAAUGAAUGAAUUUCAAAGUUGAAAGAACUUUGUAGAAAGACUGUGCUUUAUCCUUGGUUCUUCUCUGGGGACCAACAGAAAGUGUAUGUCUUCAGGUGGCGAUAUUUGUGGCAAUUGAAGCUAUUGGCUCUUUAUGCCAUGGUUUGACUUUGAAGGCACUGCUGCUGAAGUCAUUUUCUACUGGUGGUUAUAUGAUGCUACUAGUCCUAGUCCUGUAAAUAAAAUUAAGUUCACCAGCAAAACUUCUGAUAAAAGAGA
Columba livia (rock pigeon) is the source of this 4104-nucleotide long non-coding RNA. RefSeq lists it as uncharacterized. The transcript is spliced from 2 exons. The record is from RefSeq and is a predicted model, not a curated record. NCBI's taxonomy places the organism in Eukaryota, Metazoa, Chordata, Aves, Columbiformes, Columbidae.